AGAGUUUGAUCCUGGCUCAGAACGAACGCUGGCGGCACGCUUAACACAUGCAAGUCGAACGGAAAAUCAGAUUCGUCUGGUUUUUAGUGGCAAACGGGUGAGUAACGCGUAGGAAUCUGCCCUUCGGAGGGGGACAACUUUGGGAAACUAGAGCUAAUACCCCAUAAGCUUACUUAUGUAAGGAAACGGUUUUUCGCCGAGGGAGGAGCCUGCGUCAGAUUAGGUAGUUGGUGGGGUAAAGGCCUACCAAGCCAAAGAUCUGUAGCUGGUCUUAGAGGAUGAUCAGCCACACUGGGACUGAGACACGGCCCAGACUCCUACGGGAGGCAGCAGUGGGGAAUAUUGGACAAUGGGGGAAACCCUGAUCCAGCGAUGCCGCGUGAGUGAAGAAGGCCUUCGGGUUGUAAAACUCUUUCAUUCGUGAAGAUAAUGACGGUAGCGAAAGAAGAAGCUCCGGCUAAUUCCGUGCCAGCAGCCGCGGUAAUACGGGGGGAGCUAGCGUUGUUCGGAAUUACUGGGCGUAAAGGGUGCGUAGGCGGUUUAGUAAGUAAAAUGUGAAAUACCCGAGCUUAACUCUGGUGCUGCAUUUUAUACUGCUAUGACUUGGAUACGAGAGGGGAAAGUGGAAUUCCUAGUGUAGAGGUAAAAUUCGUAGAUAUUAGGAGGAACGUCAGAAGCGAAGGCGGCUUUCUGGCUCUGUAUCGACGCUGAGGCACGAAGGCGUGGGGAGCAAACAGGAUUAGAUACCCUGGUAGUCCACGCAGUAAACGAUGAAUGCUAUAUGUUGGGAAUUUUCUCGGUGUAGAAGCUAACGCGUUAAGCAUUCCGCCUGGGUAGUACGGUCGCAAGAUUAAAACCUAAAGGAAUUGACGGGGGCCCGCACAAGCGGUGGAGCAUGUGGUUUAAUUCGACGAUCCGCGCAGAAACUUACCAGCUUUUGACAUCGGGAUUUCGGGACAGAGAGAUUUGUCCUUUCAGUUCGGCUGGAUCCCAGACAGGUGUUGCAUGGCUGUCGUCAGCUCGUGUCGUGAGAUGUUGGGUUAAGUCCCGCAACGAGCGCAACCCUUGCCUCUUAUUGCCAGCAUUUAGUUGGGUACUUUAGAGGGACUGCCGGUGAUAAGCCGGAGGAAGGUGGGGAUGACGUCAAGUCCUCAUGGCCCUUAUGGGCUGGGCUACACAUGUGCUACAAUGGUGACCACAAUGGGCUGCAAAGGGGCGACCCUGAGCGAAUCCUAAAAGGUCAUCUCAGUUCGGAUUGUUCUCUGCAACUCGAGAGCAUGAAGUCGGAAUCGCUAGUAAUCGUGGAUAAGUACGCCACGGUGAAUACGUUCACGGGCCUUGUACACACCGCCCGUCAAGCCACGGGAGUUGGUCUUACCUUAAGGCAGUGAGCUAACCGCAAGGAGGCAGCCGACCAAGGUUGGGUCGAUGACUGGGGUUAAGUCGUAACAAGGUA
This 1456-nucleotide ribosomal RNA is filed under the name metagenome. RNAcentral's name for it is "bacterial SSU rRNA". It matches the Rfam family "Bacterial small subunit ribosomal RNA". The record is from RNAcentral.